UACAGCGGGUGCAAGCGUUAAUCGGAGUUACUGGGCGUAAAGGGCGCGUAGGCGGUAAGUUAAGUUGGAUGUGAAACCCCUGGGCUUAACCUAGGACGUGCAUUCAAGACUGGUUUACUAGAGUACUGUAGAGGGUAGUGGAAUUUCCGGUGUAGCGGUGAAAUGCGUAGAGAUCGGAAGGAACAUCAGUGGCGAAGGCGGCUACCUGGACAGAUACUGACGCUUAAGCGCGAGAGCGUGGGGAGCAAACAGG
This 253-nucleotide ribosomal RNA is filed under the name uncultured bacterium. Its description in RNAcentral is "partial 16S ribosomal RNA". It matches the Rfam family "Bacterial small subunit ribosomal RNA", at positions 524 to 776 of the family's 1533-position model. The record is from RNAcentral.